AACAUCGGUCCAAUCCUUAAAGUCAUCCUCAGUUCGGACUGGGGUCUGCAACCCGACCCCNCGAAGCUGGAUUCGCUAGUAAUCGCGCAUCAGCCAUGGCGCGGUGAAUACGUUCCCGGGCCUUGUACACACCGCCCGUCAAGCCAUGAAAGCCGGGGGCGCCUGAAGUCCGUGACCGCGAGGGUCGGCCUAGGGUGAAACCGGUGAUUGGGGCUAAGUCGUAACAAGGUAUC
Molecule: ribosomal RNA, 233 nt
Filed under: uncultured bacterium
Lineage: Bacteria
Description: partial 16S ribosomal RNA
Rfam family: Bacterial small subunit ribosomal RNA
Source: RNAcentral